AUGCACGCUGGCGGCGUGCCUAAUACAUGCCAGUCGAGCGAACAGACGAGCAGCUUGCUCCUCUGACGUUAGCGGCGGACGGGUGAGUAACACGUGGAUAACCUACCUAUAAGACUGGGAUAACUUCGGGAAACCGGAGCUAAUACCGGAUAAUAUAUUGAACCGCAUGGUUCAAUAGUGAAAGACGGUUUUGCUGUCACUUAUAGAUGGAUCCGCGCCGCAUUAGCUAGUUGGUAAGGUAACGGCUUACCAAGGCAACGAUGCGUAGCCGACCUGAGAGGGUGAUCGGCCACACUGGAACUGAGACACGGUCCAGACUCCUACGGGAGGCAGCAGUAGGGAAUCGUCCGCAAUGGGAAAGCCUGACGGAGCAACGCCGCGUGAGUGAUGAAGGUCUUCGGAUCGUAAAACUCUGUUAUUAGGGAAGAACAAAUGUGUAAGUAACUAUGCACGUCUUGACGGUACCUAAUCAGAAAGCCACGGCUAACUACGUG
Molecule: ribosomal RNA, 494 nt
Filed under: uncultured bacterium
Lineage: Bacteria
Description: partial 16S ribosomal RNA
Rfam family: Bacterial small subunit ribosomal RNA
Source: RNAcentral